Molecule: long non-coding RNA, 347 nt
Filed under: Setaria viridis
Lineage: Eukaryota; Viridiplantae; Streptophyta; Magnoliopsida; Poales; Poaceae
Description: long non-coding RNA (SVIR_LNC006898)
Source: RNAcentral
GGAUGUGUUCAAAUGAUGGCCAUUACACUUAAUUGGAGUUUCAAUUUGGCGGUUCUAGCACAAAACCUAGCAGAACUGUUGUGAGACCAAGAAGGCCUUUUGCUUGCACUAUCAUUCAGUGUGUUCAAAUGCCUAAUAACGGACUUUUCCCCUUGUAGAACUUUCCAUAACUAUUGUAAGACCAAGAAGGCCUAUUUAUUCAGCUUUCAUCUAGUCAGUUCAAAAAGUAGCAACGGAUGUUCCUUCUUCCUUAGUAAAGAUAUCUUGGGCAAUGACAACGUACUAAUCACAAAUGCAACAAUUUGUGUUAGAACAUAGAUAAACCUGACCAUUCUUAUUACCAGCAC